RNAcentral lists this ribosomal RNA (398 nucleotides) under uncultured bacterium. RNAcentral describes it as "partial 16S ribosomal RNA". It matches the Rfam family "Bacterial small subunit ribosomal RNA", at positions 523 to 918 of the family's 1533-position model. The record is from RNAcentral.
AUACGUAGGGUGCGAGCGUUGUCCAGAAUUACUGGGCGUAAAGAGCUCGUAGGUGGUUUGUCGCGUCGUCUGUGAAAUUCCGGGGCUUAACUCCGGGCGUGCAGGCGAUACGGGCAUAACUUGAGUACGGUAGGGGCGACUGGAAUUCCUGGAGACGCGGUGAAAUGCGCAGAUAUCAGGAGGAACACCGGUGGCGAAGGCGGGUCUCUGGACAGAAACUGACGCUGAGGAGCGAAAGCAUGGGUAGCAAACAGGAUUAGAUACCCUGGUAGUCCACGCCGUAAACGGUGGGUGCUAGGUGUAGGGGGUAUUCACGCCUUCUGUGCCGUAGCUAACGCAUUAAGCGCUCCGCCUGGGAAGUACGGCCGCAAGGCUAAAACUCAAAGGAAUUGACGGGG